This 330-nucleotide ribosomal RNA is filed under the name uncultured bacterium. RNAcentral's name for it is "bacterial SSU rRNA". It matches the Rfam family "Bacterial small subunit ribosomal RNA", at positions 570 to 898 of the family's 1533-position model. The record is from RNAcentral.
CGUAGGCGGUGCGGUAAGUCACCUGUGAAACCUCCGGGCUUAACUCGGAGCCUGCAGGCGAAACUGCCGUGCUCGAGUGUGGGAGAGGUGCGUGGAAUUCCCGGCGUAGCGGUGAAAUGCGUAGAUAUCGGGAGGAACACCUGUGGCGAAAGCGGCGCACUGGACCACAACUGACGCUGAGGCGCGAAAGCUAGGGGAGCAAACAGGAUUAGAUACCCUGGUAGUCCUAGCCCUAAACCAUGAUUGCUUGGUGUAGCAGGUACCCAAUCCUGCUGUGCCGCAGCUAACGCGAUAAGCAAUCCGCCUGGGGAGUACGGUCGCAAGGCUGAA